AUUGAACGCUGGCGGCAGGCCUAACACAUGCAAGUCGAACGGAUAAGGGGAGCUUGCUCCUGGAUUCAGCGGCGGACGGGUGAGUAAUGCGUAUGAAUCGGCCUUGUAUUGGGGGUUAACUUCGGAAAACGGGCGCUAUUACCGCAUACGUCCUGAGGGGGAAGGUGGGGGAUCUUCGGACCUCACGCUAUCGGAUGAACCUAGGGCGGAUUAGCUAGUUGGUGGGGUAAAGGCCUACCAAGGCGACGAUGCGUAACUGGUCUGAGAGGAUGAUCAGUCACACUGGAACUGAGACACGGUCCAGACUCCUACGGGAGGCAGAAGUGGGGACGAUUGGACAAUGGGCGAAAGCUUGCUCCAGCCAUGCCGCGUGUGUGAAGCAGGUCUUCGGAUUGUAAAGCACCUUACGUUGGGAGGACGGCUAGUAAGUUAAUACCUUGUUGUUUUGACGUUACCAACAGAAUAAGCACCGGCUAACUUCGUG
RNAcentral lists this ribosomal RNA (484 nucleotides) under uncultured bacterium. Its description in RNAcentral is "partial 16S ribosomal RNA". It matches the Rfam family "Bacterial small subunit ribosomal RNA", at positions 30 to 507 of the family's 1533-position model. The record is from RNAcentral.